This 418-nucleotide ribosomal RNA is filed under the name uncultured bacterium. RNAcentral describes it as "bacterial SSU rRNA". It matches the Rfam family "Bacterial small subunit ribosomal RNA", at positions 30 to 451 of the family's 1533-position model. The record is from RNAcentral.
AUUGAACGCUGGCGGCAUGCCUUACACAUGCAAGUCGAACGGCAGCACGGGGCAACCUGGUGGCGAGUGGCGAACGGGUGAGUAAUGCAUCGGAACGUGCCAUUGAGUGGGGGAUAACGUAGCGAAAGUUGCGCUAAUACCGCAUAUUCUGUGAGCAGGAAAGCAGGGGACCGCAAGGCCUUGCGCUCUUUGAGCGGCCGAUGUCAGAUUAGCUAGUUGGUGAGGUAACGGCUUACCAAGGCGACGAUCUGUAGCGGGUCUGAGAGGAUGAUCCGCCACACUGGAACUGAGACACGGUCCAGACUCCUACGGGAGGCAGCAGUGGGGAAUUUUGGACAAUGGGCGCAAGCCUGAUCCAGCCAUGCCGCGUGAGUGAAGAAGGCCUCGGUGUUAAGACGUCUUUCGGUCCCGGGUAAGG